UUUUUGAGUAAAUAUCAUAGG
Molecule: non-coding RNA, 21 nt
Filed under: Caenorhabditis elegans
Lineage: Eukaryota; Metazoa; Nematoda; Chromadorea; Rhabditida; Rhabditidae
Source: RNAcentral